This 410-nucleotide ribosomal RNA is filed under the name uncultured bacterium. Its description in RNAcentral is "bacterial SSU rRNA". It matches the Rfam family "Bacterial small subunit ribosomal RNA", at positions 354 to 776 of the family's 1533-position model. The record is from RNAcentral.
GUGGGGAAUAUUGCACAAUGGGCGAAAGCCUGAUGCAGCGACGCCGCGUGAGGGAUGACGGCCUUCGGGUUGUAAACCUCUUUCAGCAGGGACGAAGCGCAAGUGACGGUACCUGCAGAAGAAGCACCGGCCAACUACGUGCCAGCAGCCGCGGUAAUACGUAGGGUGCAAGCGUUGUCCGGAAUUAUUGGGCGUAAAGAGCUCGUAGGCGGCUUGUCGCGUCGGCUGUGAAAACCUGGGGCUCAACCCCGGGCCUGCAGCCGAUACGGGCAAGCUAGAGUUCGGUAGGGGAGACUGGAAUUCCUGGUGUAGCGGUGAAAUGCGCAGAUAUCAGGAGGAACACCGGUGGCGAAGGCGGGUCUCUGGGCCGAUACUGACGCUGAGGAGCGAAAGCGUGGGGAGCGAACAGG